Solea solea (common sole) is the source of this 986-nucleotide long non-coding RNA. RefSeq lists it as uncharacterized. The record is from RefSeq and is a predicted model, not a curated record. NCBI's taxonomy places the organism in Eukaryota, Metazoa, Chordata, Actinopteri, Pleuronectiformes, Soleidae. The transcript has 3 exons.
CUUCGCACUACUUUACUUUGAAAAGACAGAGCGGAAGUACCAGAUGUUAGAUUGUUAGCUACCUGCUUCUAAAAACAUCUGCUAGCAACAAUGAGUGAUGCUAGCACCCUUGCUAACAUAGCAUGCUACUACGAGACUAAUCCCAAUCAACUCAAGACUUCACUCCACAGUCAGUCAAGCCUCAGGUCAUUCAGCUGUCAACAAGAAAGACCGUGAACGCAUCACAUCAGCUACUCAUUGGCAUCUGCUGUGCUUUCUGCUGCUGAAGCUCUUCUCGUAAAGCACAAACACCCAGAGGAACCAAAUGAGACAACAAAAGAACAGUUUCCAUGAUCCCACGCUGCUUUCUGAUGUCAUCUAUCUCUUUUAUUUUUUUGUUAUUUUUGAUUGAGAGAUCCACAGGGUAGCAAACAUCACAUGAAUUCAGUCGACAAUGGGACUGAAAGCGCCUUGAAUAACAUGAUCUGAUAAUCAAAGGUCAUUUAUCAUCGCCAUGCAGUUCUGUCACAUUCUGUCAAGAUCAUUUGCUCCAAAUGAAAUGAUGGAAAUUUGCGUUUUGUUGUUUUUUUUUCAUAAUGUUUUACAUAGCAAUGAUGUUGUAAAUGGCUAAUAAAGAGUUAAGUGAUACAAAUCAAAACAUGUUUGGUAGUAAAGGGUGACAUAAGUGCUUUACAGCGGCAAUAGUCACAAGAGGAAAGUUUCGAAAGAGCAAAGUAAACACACUUGUUCCUCAGUGGAAACAGUUUGUGUUGACACAGUAGAUUUGUGCCUUUGUCCCUCUGCAUGGUUUUGAUGGUUGAAAGAUGAUCCUGCCAAACAGUGAGAUGUGGCACGUGCUCCCUCAUGUAAAGGUAACAAAUGCAGACCAUCAUCUGCUCACCGAGCACAUCUCCCUCUUCAAGUUCAAGGCACAAAAACAUUCAAAUAUUUUCCACAAAAGAAACCAAAAAUGUGUCCUCCACUCCUUCAAACAAAGAGCAAGUGAC